GCAUAGCUCAAGAAAAAUGGUUAUCAACAAAAUCUACUUAAAUAGGCCAACUAAAAUCGCAUCGUGUGCGCUAGGCUUUAUUUUGUGUCUUAUAGGCUAUAGUUUUAAUAUAAUUAGUAAGGUAUAGUCUAGGAGCAACCUUUCAUAUACCCUAACAGUGUCUUACAAUUACGUGGACAUCGCGAACGCAAAAUUGCGUAAUUGUGUGAUGUUC
Molecule: non-coding RNA, 214 nt
Organism: Paramuricea clavata
Lineage: Eukaryota; Metazoa; Cnidaria; Anthozoa; Malacalcyonacea; Plexauridae
Source: the annotation of a GenBank genome assembly